AUGUGUUAUGAUGGUGCUCCAGGUUGUAAAAAUACGUUCGACAACUACACAGGAGGUUGGAAAGUGGAAGUUGUAAGGCAGAAUUUUCUUCACCGAGAUGCAGAGGCUAUAUUGAACAUCCCCUUGAAUUAUGCGGGAGGCGAAGAUACAAUUGCUUGGGCCCUAGAAAAAUCCGGCAUCUACUCUGUUAAAUCAGUGUAUCGUUCUCUUGUGACUCACAACGAGCUUAGAACUCUAGAGGAAGGGACGAUUACAGAAACUUCAAGGACAGAUAAACAUAUGUGGGAUGCUCUUUGGAAACUUCAUGUGGUACCCAAAGUACGAGUCUUCUGA
RNAcentral lists this ribosomal RNA (333 nucleotides) under Triticum aestivum (bread wheat). RNAcentral describes it as "partial small subunit ribosomal RNA". The record is from RNAcentral. Lineage: Eukaryota; Viridiplantae; Streptophyta; Magnoliopsida; Poales; Poaceae.